Molecule: transfer RNA, 64 nt
Filed under: Cloacotaenia megalops
Lineage: Eukaryota; Metazoa; Platyhelminthes; Cestoda; Cyclophyllidea; Hymenolepididae
Description: tRNA-Cys
Source: RNAcentral
AAGAGUAUGUAGCGUUAUCGCCACAGUUUUGCAAAGACUGUUGAGAGUGUUUACUCCAUACUUU